Molecule: long non-coding RNA, 790 nt
Organism: Rhipicephalus sanguineus (brown dog tick)
Lineage: Eukaryota; Metazoa; Arthropoda; Arachnida; Ixodida; Ixodidae
Exons: 5
Source: RefSeq, a predicted model, not a curated record
AGGCCGUUCAUCGCCUGGCAGUUCUUGUCACCGUGGUAAGUGCAAGUUUACUGAGCGCUAAAUGAAUAACGGGAUCAUUUUAUUAGCAAGCGUCGUCUUGCUCAUGAUAGGCGAACUUAGCUGCACGAUCCCUAUGGGGAACAACGACGCAGAUAAGCUGUUGCAGCAAACGAGUGUGAAAUAUGGUUUAUAUAACAAAACUGGCAAUCCUUUUCUUGAUUUAAAAUUUGACUGCAUUACGCUCGAAACGACCGGAGGACACUCUCCAUACAACGUAAUGAUUGACUGUGCUAACAAUACUAACAAAACGACAUGGGAAACAUUACUGUAUUUAGCGAACACAUCACGGGCUGAAAGAUCGUCAGUGAACAAUAUGAUUACUUUUACGCCUCAUGAGAAUAAAUCUAUCGCAUCACCUGAAAGCGCGAUGUUAUAUGAACUAGUGUUCGCUGUUGACGGAAAAUGUUUCGUUCUGUUUUAUAAAACUACCUCUAACCCGAAAAGUUGCUACCUCUGGAAAAGAAUUCAAAACGAUACUUGCCCAAUUUCCGCCGUAGAUGGCACAGCUUGUGAUAUUAAAUACAGGAAUUGCCAUACGUAACCUAGCCAACAGUAACUGCAACCCUAUAUGUCAUUGGACAAGGAAGAGGAGCCCGUACAAAUAUAACUUCAAGCGCCGAAAUUUCAUUGGUAUCCCUUGCCAGAAAAUGAAAGACAAAAUGAUAGAAUGAGAAAUGACAUAAGAGAACCUUCUUGCCUUCAUUCUUUUUGGAAGUAAAUGUCUUGCUUG